Molecule: non-coding RNA, 303 nt
Organism: Vicia faba (fava bean)
Lineage: Eukaryota; Viridiplantae; Streptophyta; Magnoliopsida; Fabales; Fabaceae
Source: the annotation of a GenBank genome assembly
AUGUCAGAAUCAUUGGGAGCAAUGGACAUUUUGAAUGUGGGGAAAGAAAGAAAGAAGACAUUGUUGGAAAGAAAAAGCAGAUGUCGCAAGUGGACAAGACGACAAAAUACGAGAGAGGUGACUCCUACAAUGGUAUUAGACAAAAAGAUGGAAUGUGGUAAGGGAAAUCUAUUAGAUAUUAUGAUAUUGGAUGGAAAAGUGGAAACCUGUGGAAAAGGAGAGAAAAAGUUAAAGGGGCAAGAGGAGAUUGGAAAUCCCGUUACCAAAAUACCAGAGGUUGUGUUGGAAUCCCAACACUGUUAG